GAUGAACGCUGGCGGCGUGCCUAAUACAUGCAAGUCGAGCGAACGGACGAGAAGCUUGCUUCUCUGAUGUUAGCGGCGGACGGGUGAGUAACACGUGGAUAACCUACCUAUAAGACUGGGAUAACUUCGGGAAACCGGAGCUAAUACCGGAUGAUAUUUUGAACCGCAUGGUUCAAAAGUGAAAGACGGUCUUGCUGUCACUUAUAGAUGGAUCCGCGCUGCAUUAGCUAGUUGGUAAGGUAACGGCUUACCAAGGCAACGAUGCAUAGCCGACCUGAGAGGGUGAUCGGCCACACUGGAACUGAGACACGGUCCAGACUCCUACGGGAGGCAGCAGUAGGGAAUCUUCCGCAAUGGGCGAAAGCCUGACGGAGCAACGCCGCGUGAGUGAUGAAGGUCUUCGGAGCGUAAAACUCUGUUAUUAGUGAAGAACAUAUGUGUAAGUAACUGUGCACAUCUUGACGGUACCUAAUCAGAAAGCCACGGCUAACUACGUG
Molecule: ribosomal RNA, 497 nt
Filed under: uncultured bacterium
Lineage: Bacteria
Description: partial 16S ribosomal RNA
Rfam family: Bacterial small subunit ribosomal RNA
Source: RNAcentral